RNAcentral lists this ribosomal RNA (672 nucleotides) under uncultured bacterium. Its description in RNAcentral is "bacterial SSU rRNA". It matches the Rfam family "Bacterial small subunit ribosomal RNA", at positions 301 to 980 of the family's 1533-position model. The record is from RNAcentral.
UAUUCAGCCAACUUGGAACUGAGACUGCCAGAUCUCUACGGAAGCAGCAGUGGGGAAUUUUGGACAUUGGCGAAGCUGAUCCCAGUCAUGCGCGUGCGGGAAGAAGCUCCGGGUUGUAACCGCUUUAGUCCGGGAAAAGGGGUGCGAGGAUAAUACCCUCGUGCUUUGAUGUACUGGAAGAAUAAGCACGGCUAACUACGUGCCAGCAGCGCGGUAAUACGUAGGGUGCGAGCGUAAUCGGAAUUACUGGGCGUAAAGCGUGCGCAGGCGGUCUUGCAAGACAGUCGUGAAAGCCCCGGGCUUAACCUGGGAACUGCGAUUGUGACUGCAAGGCUAGAGUGUGUCAGAGGGGGGUGGAAUUCCACGUGUAGCAGUGAAAUGCGUAGAGAUGUGGAGGAACACCGAUGGCGAAGGCAGCCCCCUGGGAUAACACUGACGCUCAUGCACGAAAGCGUGGGGAGCAAACAGGAUUAGAUACCCUGGUAGUCCACGCCCUAAACGAUGUCAACUGGUUGUUGGAAGGGUAACCUUUUAGUAACGAAGCUAACGCGUGAAGUUGACCGCCUGGGGAGUACGGUCGCAAGAUUAAAACUCAAAGGAAUUGACGGGGACCCGCACAAGCGGUGGAUGAUGUGGUUUAAUUCGAUGCAACGCGAAAAACCUUACCUACAC